This is a long non-coding RNA of Monodelphis domestica (gray short-tailed opossum), 624 nucleotides long. RefSeq lists it as uncharacterized. Lineage: Eukaryota; Metazoa; Chordata; Mammalia; Didelphimorphia; Didelphidae. The record is from RefSeq and is a predicted model, not a curated record.
GAGUGAUAGAGAGGAAGGGAUCUGAAGAAGGAAGGGUGUCGGGGAGACUGAGCAUACCGGGGGACAAGAAGGCCUCCAUCCCCUAGGGAAAUAGGACCCAUGGCCAGUCCAGCUCCUCCAGAGUCCCGUUGCUGUGCCCUGCGGGGGCCCUCCCUAGAGGGUUGCUGAAGUCCAGUGGCAAGACAAAAGUCAAGAUGGCUGGUGAUGGCUUUGGAUGCAGUGGAUGGCCUCAACCUCUCUGAUGUCUAACGAUUUAAGAAAAUUGCAUGAAUCAUUGGCAUUAUGAAAUGUAUUCUAUGGCUACAUCUUUUAAGUGCUCAUCUCACCUGCUUCCACUGGGGGUCAUUAUUGAUGUGAGAGAAUCAGGAAAAGUCUCAUGUAAGAUGUGGCACUUGAGCUGACCUGAAGGUGAAGUUAAGGACUCUAAGUAGAUGUAAGGAAUUAGUAUAUUCCAGGAAUGGUAGACAGUCUGUCAAAGGUAUGGUGGCGGGGGGACGUACAUCAUCUAUGGGGAACCUUGUAGAUCAGUAUAGCUAUAACUCAAAAGAGAAUUGUGCUUGAUAAACUAGCAAGUAAGCUUAGAACUAGGAUGUGAAUGAAAAACAUUAAAUGCUAAACAAAGGA